RNAcentral lists this non-coding RNA (45 nucleotides) under Trichobilharzia regenti. Lineage: Eukaryota; Metazoa; Platyhelminthes; Trematoda; Strigeidida; Schistosomatidae. The record is from RNAcentral.
AUUCAGUUGACGCGUCCCAAAUAGGACGAAAUGCGCAUCCUGGAU